RNAcentral lists this ribosomal RNA (401 nucleotides) under Arsenophonus endosymbiont of Aphis craccivora. RNAcentral's name for it is "bacterial LSU rRNA". It matches the Rfam family "Bacterial large subunit ribosomal RNA", at positions 317 to 723 of the family's 2925-position model. Lineage: Bacteria; Pseudomonadati; Pseudomonadota; Gammaproteobacteria; Enterobacterales; Morganellaceae. The record is from RNAcentral.
UCAAUAUUUACCGCAGGAGAAGGGUCUGGAAAGGCCAGCAAUAAAGGGUGAUAGCCCCGUAUCUGAAACGGUAAGUGUUGUGAACUCGAAGAGUAAGGCGGGACACGUGUUAUCCUGUCUGAAUAUGGGGGGACCAUCCUCCAAGGCUAAAUACUACUGACUGACCGAUAGUAAACCAGUACCGUGAGGGAAAGGCGAAAAGAACCCCGGCGAGGGGAGUGAAAUAGAACCUGAAACCGUGUACGUACAAGCAGUGGGAGCACCCGACAGGGUGUGACUGCGUACCUUUUGUAUAAUGGGUCAGCGACUUAUAUUCUGUAGCAAGGUUAACCGCAUAGGGGAGCCGUAGGGAAACCGAGUCUGAACUGGGCGUUAAGUUGCAGGGUAUAGACCCGAAACCC